Rosa chinensis is the source of this 1044-nucleotide long non-coding RNA. RefSeq lists it as uncharacterized. Lineage: Eukaryota; Viridiplantae; Streptophyta; Magnoliopsida; Rosales; Rosaceae. The transcript has 10 exons. The record is from RefSeq and is a predicted model, not a curated record.
UCUUCCCCAAUUUUGCGCUAGGCAAUGGAGGAAAUCGUUCUGGGUUUCGGCGGUCUGGGCAUUGGGCGUCGAUCUAUAAUAUUUUCAACCCAGACAUAUCUCUUCUCUCUUGCCAUUUGUCUACACGACGAUGACAAUUUAUAUCAGAAACCCUAAAAAAGAAUCUCCAUUAUCAGAAUUCAGAAACCCUAGCUAGCUAGCUAAGCUCAUUACGGGCAUCAUGUAUUGCGAAUUAUACCAAAUCUCUGCAUACAAUAUGCAGAAUCAGAAUCCCACCUGCUAUUUCUUCAUGGUGUGCAGAUUGUUAAACUAGAAUUAAGGGAAGUAUCAAGAGCUUUUGUUGUGUCUCUCCCCCCUUCGAUCGGUGAAAACUCGGAAGAGGAAGCAAGAUUAGGGAACAAAGAAAAAGUCAAACUCUGUAAUUAGGGUUUUAGAGAGACACAGUAAUAUGGACCAUGGCCUUCGUCCUAGACAGAGGGAGUUCUUCAUUGGCUUCACAAAGGGCCAGAUGGAGAGAAUGGACAAAUUGGUGAGGGAGUCCGGAGAAGUAGUGCUUGUCAAGAAUUUUGUCAAAAUUUUGCAUAAAGUUUUUAAUCACUCUGCUAGUCAUGCUGGAAAAUCAAUUGUGAAAUGGAUUUAGAGGUUCUUGCUCUGCUAGGAAAAAUGAUGAUAUCUCCUUACUUGCUUUUCUCUGUCACUGGGGUGGAUUACCAUUGCAGAAUGUGUUGGAUGAGGAAUUUAUAUUAGCAAAAGAAUUUUUUUUCUCAGGAAGGCUUGAUAAUCUCUGCAUACUCAAUCAAUCUGGUAGCAGGUGCAGCAAAAGAACAUUUUGAUUUCUUCCUUAGUCAAGAUUCUAUUGUAGGCUUGGAGUUAAGAUCAAGUCAUCAAACACGGUAUUGGAAACAUGGAGAGGGUUGGCCUUUUGCACAGUUUGUCCAACUUUUCAUUUUAAUUUUGAUACUCUUUGGAUGUAAUUGAUAUGAAUAAUAACAUACACUGAAUAUAUUGAGGUUGUAGUGAAAAUAUUGGUUCUUAAUUAGCUUG